ACCUCCCUUUUCCCCUUCCCGUUAGCGCCGACCCCAUCCCCUUUCUCCCUCCACUUUCAAUUUUUCGUUCACCAACUAAUACCACUGCCUCCUACCAUUGCCGCCUUUCUUUCUCUCUCUCUCCAUUUCCGUUUCUAGUAAACACAAGGAUCACAGACGAAGCUGCGACUUCAUCCCGAUCAAGACAAUCGCAUCUCAAUCGUUCCUUUCAUUUUUCAGCAACUCCAACUUCCUUCUCUUGGCAGCGCCGCUCGGUUUCUCUCUCUCUCUCCCUUCCUAUUCCCGUUGGCACAGCAGUCGGGUGAAGCUGCAUGUGGUUUUUAAUCGGGUCAAUUGCAACCUAGCUCUCUUUUCUCGCUUUUCCCGCAAGAUCAGCCAACAACCGAUGAAACCGGCUCUUCUGUCGUCACCAGCUCCUCAUGUAUGUCGUUCUUCCCUACUCCGACCAUGCUACCACCAACAAAACUGAAUUUUGAGUGUUAGAGCUGCUGUUGAUCGUUUUACUGGAAAGUGCAAUUUUCGACGCAUAUUGUAGCUAGCAUGAAUUUUUUUAGGUCAUAUGGUAUCCAAGGAUGAAAUCAUGGUUGACUCUAAAAAUGUUAAAGCAGUUAUCGAUUGGCCUGGACCGAUUACAGUCACAGAAGUUCGUAGUUUUCUGGGUUUAGCUGGCCAUUAUUGUCGCUUUGUACAAGACUUUUCUAGGAUAAUAGUUCCAUUAACAAGACUAACCCAGAAGAAUGCCAAGUUCAUAUGGUCUGAUUCUUCGGAAGCGAGUUUUCAGAGGCUCAAAGAGUGUUUGAUCAUCGCUUCGAUGUUAGCCUUACCGUCAAGCAAUUAAGGGUUUACUAUGUUUUGUGAUGCAUUCAAAGCGAGGUUGGGUUGGGUCUUGAUGCAGCAUGGUCAGGUUAUUGCAUAUGCUUUUGGGAGUUGAAGGAGCAUGAGCAAAACUAUCCCACUCAUGAUUUGGAAAUGGCAACCAUCAUUUUUACAUUAAAGAUAUGGAGACAUUAUUUAUAUGGUGUGUCAUAUGAGAUCAUUACUGAUCAUAAAAGCUUGAAGUAUAUUUUUUAUCAAAGAGAUCUAAAUUUGAGACAAAAA
Jatropha curcas is the source of this 1098-nucleotide non-coding RNA. Lineage: Eukaryota; Viridiplantae; Streptophyta; Magnoliopsida; Malpighiales; Euphorbiaceae. The record is from RefSeq and is a predicted model, not a curated record.